CCGUAUGUUAUAGCUUAUUUUAGUAUAGCCUUCACAGAGCGCCAUAGUUCUUUUUAACAAAGAGAAAAGUUAUACAAGUUUUUAAUUUCAAAUGAUUUGGUAAAUAACUGCGAACUUCUUCGGAGAUUACAAAAAAAGUUAUUUUUAUAAGUUAAAAAAGAAAAACAAAAGUCGACAAAGAAAUAAAAAGAAAAAAGAAAGAAAAAGAAAAGAGUCAACAAAAAAAAAAGUUUCAAGGUAAAAAAGAACUGAAAUGAUUUCAAGAUGAUUUGUUUGGAUAUAAUCUUUCCGCUCCGAAGUACGCCUUUUGGGGCUCUCGCUAUAGCGAGGGCGCCAAAAGGCUUACUUCAGAUCUUGAAGUAUGUUUUACACAAAAUCUCAUAAACAUUAUGUUCUGUUGCAUUUCUGAAUUAAAGUUAUGAACAUAUGGUCCACAACAGUCCGGAAACACUUGGCCGACAAAAAGGUAACUUAAAAAAGCAUAAAAAUUAUGACUUAUAAAGGUCGCCAAUUAGCUGAAUCAGAAAUUCAGAACUUCAUAAAUGAGUUAAAAAACAAUGAAAAUGAAGAUUAUGAAGAUGAUUAGUGGCAUUAAUGUCUAUUAAAAGCGAAGUUACAAAAAGUCUAGAUUUUGAAGAGAUUCUGAAUCAUUUUAUGUAUGAAAAAUCAAGGAAAAAAAUAUACUAAUUUGGAUACAUCAAUUGCAAGUUUCCAAAUACAUGCAAAGUAAAUUGAAAGAGUUGAUAGAGUCGCAGCAUUUUUAGAGAAAUAUCAGUGUUUCCCUAAUGUUCUAUUAGUAAGAUUUUUUUUUUCAUUUGUGAUUUCAUAUAUUUAUUGGAUAAAGUGCAAUAGUGUUUCAAAAUCACAAAUCCUUUUUUAAGUGAGAAGAUAUUUUCAAAACUGCCAUGUCCUCUAAUGGGUUAUUCUAAAAGUUUUCUCUGCUUUAUAAAGUUGUAUGCUUUUUUUAUUAUUGUUAUUUAAUUCAGAUUGUUGGCGACAUUGCUCAUGUAUUAAAAUCUUCUGUCAUAGUUGACUCAGCAAGAAUAAAGACAUUGAUACACCUUUGCAUUAUGGAAUACACAAGUUGGCAGUUCCUCGCCCACUGCCACCCAAAUACAGGAAAGUAUGCAUGCAUACACAAUCCUCAAAAUUAGUAAAACUAAAGUGAGUAAUAAAUUUUCGACUUUAAAUUGUUUUAGGUUGGCAUCAGAUUACAAUCGGCAAACAUAAAGCCAUUUUUAGAAAGGUUUUACUAUAAAAGAUGAAAACGAGGUCAGCAAAAAAUUGCCAACCUCAGGCAUUUUUAUGUUUUUGCUUGCUUAGGGUUAGAGUUAGGUACAAUAAUGUAUUGAAAUCAAUUAAUAAUUAAAUAAGGAAUGUGUUUUUAGAUACUUAAGUUAAACACUUAAUAAAGUACUUGCUGCAAUUACUUUCAAAAGACUAAAACUGGACAUAUUGUUUUAGAAAAAGCUACUUAAAAAAUCCUUAUCUGUACGUAACAGACGACAUACAAAAAGGCUUUCAGAUCAUUUAAAAAUCACUUAAAGGGAAAACCAUCGGUACUAUGGAGACGAAGUGAUUAUUAUGUGUGGCAAAAGAUUAUUUUAUGAAGUUUUUCAUUUUCUGAAUUCGUGAUGGAACCUUUUGGAAUACACUUGUCAUGGACAUGGGAGGAGUAUUGCCGCUACAAGCUUGAACAAUGAUAAAACAUUUCAAAGAAUAAUUUGUUAUUUCAACGAUUAGAUUUGUUGUUUAAAUGUAUAAAUGCUUUUUGAA
Molecule: long non-coding RNA, 1776 nt
Organism: Hydra vulgaris (swiftwater hydra)
Lineage: Eukaryota; Metazoa; Cnidaria; Hydrozoa; Anthoathecata; Hydridae
Source: RefSeq, a predicted model, not a curated record